RNAcentral lists this ribosomal RNA (746 nucleotides) under uncultured bacterium. RNAcentral's name for it is "bacterial SSU rRNA". It matches the Rfam family "Bacterial small subunit ribosomal RNA", at positions 61 to 819 of the family's 1533-position model. The record is from RNAcentral.
GUUGAGCGGAGAUAUAUGGAGCUUGCUUUAUAUAACUUAGCAGCGAACGGGUGAGUAACACGUAGAUAAUCUAUCCUAUACUGGGGGAUAGCCCGAUGAAAGUUGGAUUAAUACCGCAUAUAGCUAUAUAGUUGCAUGAUUAUGUAGUGAAAGAUUUAUUGGUAUAGGAGGAGUCUGCGGCACAUUAGCUAGUAGGUGAGGUAAAGGCUUACCUAGGCGACGAUGUGUAGCCGGUCUGAGAGGAUGAACGGCCACAAUGGAACUGAGACACGGUCCAUACUCCUACGGGAGGCAGCAGUGGGGAAUAUUGCACAAUGGGGGAAACCCUGAUGCAGCAACGCCGCGUGAGUGAAGAAGGUUUUCGGAUUGUAAAGCUCUGUUAGCAGGGAAGAGGAAGGACGGUACCUGCAGAGGAAGCCACGGCUAACUACGUGCCAGCAGCCGCGGUAAUACGUAGGUGGCAAGCGUUGUUCGGAAUAACUGGGCGUAAAGGAUGCGUAGGCGGUUAAACAAGUUAUAUGUUAAAUAUAUAGGCUUAACCUGUAGAAAGCAUAUAAAACUGUUUAACUAGAGUGCAGGAGAGGUAAGUGGAAUUCCUAGUGUAGCGGUGAAAUGCGUAGAGAUUAGGAAGAACACCAGUGGCGAAGGCGACUUACUGGACUGUAACUGACGCUGAGGCAUGAGAGCAUGGGGAGCAAACAGGAUUAGAUACCCUGGUAGUCCAUGCUGUAAACGAUGGGUACUAG